Molecule: long non-coding RNA, 2124 nt
Organism: Pteropus alecto (black flying fox)
Lineage: Eukaryota; Metazoa; Chordata; Mammalia; Chiroptera; Pteropodidae
Exons: 2
Source: RefSeq, a predicted model, not a curated record
CUGGCCUGCCGGUCUCACCGGCACUUGGCAGAGGUUUGGCGCAUUCGGCAGCACUGUGCCGUUAACGUCCGUAGGGACCUGCAGCCCCUAUGUGGCAGGAAGCGACACCUGAAAGAGGGGAUCUGGACGCUCAGACGACUUUGUUAGAGGAAGGAGAGUCUAUUAGGCGGGCGGAAUGUGUGACAAGUUUCCAGAAGGCCAUUCAGAGAUCUACAGGGCUAAUCUGCAGCCUGCUGCAUCCGUCAUUUCUGCAGCCCUUCCCUUUGCAUGUAACAGCGGAUGCACCGGAUGCUGCGCCAGCGGAUGCACCGGAUGCUGCGCCGGCGGAUGCACCUGACGCCCCGACAGCGGACGCAUACCAUGACAUGUCUCCGGCGUGACUCUGAUGAAACUGGACUCUGGGUGAUGACGACGUUGUCAGAGCGGGUUCACCAGUUGUCACGAAUGUUCCAUCUGGAGCGGGUAUUGACAAAGCGAAGGCUGUGUGUGUUGGGGGAAGCUGGGGGGGGGCGGUAUAUGGGAAACCUGUACAGGUAUGCCUCUCAAUUUUGCUCUGAACCUCUAAAGAAUAACAUCUUUAAAAGAUAUCAUAUAGAUGCAGGUGAUAUAAGGUCAACUUCAGUCAUAUUUUUUCUGAGCUCCAAUUUCCAGGUCAGUCUUUUAUUCUUAUUGGCAAAGUCUUGAGUGUCCAGGGACAAGGCCCCGCAUGCACGUGCCCUCCCACCCCAUUCUGUCAUGUCCCUGUGUCAGGUGCAGAGGCGCUCCGUGAGCCCCCCCUGCCCCAGCAUCCGGCGUGACAAGGUAAACUGAGGAAGGUGGUAAGAGGCGUGGAAGGAGGUGGUUUGAUUGCGGGGCUCAAGUGCAUUUCGUGCUGUGAGACCAUAACGUUCAGCACGUCGGAUAACAGACGGGAGCAUCGUCAGGCUUCCAAACCAUGAGCUUCUUUCUCACCUCAAGCCGCGUAAAAACAACCCGCCUAAGAACCGCUGUACUGAGUCUCCGCUAUGCACUGGGCCGUGCGCGUGCUGCUUCGCCCCAUUCCAUGAGUCCUGGGGAAUGUUAUCACCAUUUCACAGAUGAGGCACCCGAGUCACAGACAGUUCCAUAUCACUGAAGAAAGCAGUGGCAACACCUUAUAAUUGUACUAUGUCACACUUCUCUCUCUCUGUUUUUUGUUGGUUUUACCCAUAAUAUAUUUAAUCACUCAUACCUGUGCCUGCCAAAAUGAAGAGACCUGAGAGCGACACCUGUCUUUCUCUUAUAGCUCAGAACAGUAGUAUUUCUGUUAUAAACAUUAUAAAGUCUUCAUCAUAAAAUGCUGUCUCUUGAAUAUUUCAGGUGACAUAGCAGGUGAUGAUGCAGUUUGUGCAGAGAUUUAUAUUUCCAUUAUAGAAACAACAAAAAAAUUGAAAUAAUCUUUGCCAAUUUAUAUUUUUAUUAGGAAAAGGAGCCAGUCUUUUAAAGCGCGACGAUCUUUGUGCGUUUCCUGCUGUGGAGAUCGCUGUCAUAUUUAGAUCGUCUCGCUCUGGUUUUCCCAGGUUGCCACCUCGACUGAUGGGUCGACCAGACAUCUCUUCUUGGGUCGACCAGACAUCUCUUCUUGGCAACCUUCACACUUUUUAGUGCCACAGUCGAGGAGAUUCGGGUAACAGGAUAGAACAGGGAAGAACUGUGCAGUCUCGAGUCUUGGCUUCUCUGACAGAUGCUGUCCUGGCCCCUGGAGGUUCCUUCCCACGUCUGUUGGCUUUUCUUCCUUCUUUCGAGCCAUGGAUAUGAACAGUGCCCGAUAUUCCGUUGUUUUUAUUCCUUCCAUCUAUAACUUGUCAUUCUGUUACUCUGGCUUCAAUUAACAUUGCCCAGUUCAGUCUAGUCUCACCUUCUCUGUUAAUCCGACACUGUCGGCCAUUCGAUUCACUUAGAUGACGGCGGAAGUUGAAAGACACACUCAUUGCCGCCUCUCCAAUAAAACCUGUGUCUGACCAGAAUAGUUUUGAAAAUGCUACUACUGUUCAUAGAUACUUAAGGAAUUAUGGAAUGUUCUCUGUGUUCUCCUUUAUUUAUCUCCCAUAUUUAGUCACCUCACUCUCCAGCGGGUCUACCAUGUACAUGGCAGAAUAUAAAUGU